Molecule: ribosomal RNA, 773 nt
Filed under: uncultured Streptococcus sp.
Lineage: Bacteria; Bacillati; Bacillota; Bacilli; Lactobacillales; Streptococcaceae
Description: bacterial SSU rRNA
Rfam family: Bacterial small subunit ribosomal RNA
Source: RNAcentral
GACGAACGCUGGCGGCGUGCCUAAUACAUGCAAGUAGGACGCACAGUCUAUACCGUAGCUUGCUACACCAUAGGCUGUGAGUUGCGAACGGGUGAGUAACGCGUAGGUAACCUGCCUAUUAGAGGGGGAUAACUAUUGGAAACGAUAGCUAAUACCGCAUAACAGUAUGUAACACAUGUUAGAUGCUUGAAAGAUGCAAUUGCAUCGCUAGUAGAUGGACCUGCGUUGUAUUAGCUAGUAGGUAGGGUAAUGGCCUACCUAGGCGACGAUACAUAGCCGACCUGAGAGGGUGAUCGGCCACACUGGGACUGAGACACGGCCCAGACUCCUACGGGAGGCAGCAGUAGGGAAUCUUCGGCAAUGGACGGAAGUCUGACCGAGCAACGCCGCGUGAGUGAAGAAGGUUUUCGGAUCGUAAAGCUCUGUUGUAAGAGAAGAACGAGUGUGAGAGUGGAAAGUUCACACUGUGACGGUAUCUUACCAGAAAGGGACGGCUAACUACGUGCCAGCAGCCGCGGUAAUACGUAGGUCCCGAGCGUUGUCCGGAUUUAUUGGGCGUAAAGCGAGCGCAGGCGGUUAGAUAAGUCUGAAGUUAAAGGCUGUGGCUUAACCAUAGUACGCUUUGGAAACUGUUUAACUUGAGUGCAAGAGGGGAGAGUGGAAUUCCAUGUGUAGCGGUGAAAUGCGUAGAUAUAUGGAGGAACACCGGUGGCGAAAGCGGCUCUCUGGCUUGUAACUGACGCUGAGGCUCGAAAGCGUGGGGAGCAAACAGG